AGCAGCCGCGGUAAUUCCAGCUCCAAUAGUGUAUAUUAAAGUUGUUGCAGUUAAAAAGCUCGUAGUUGAAUUUCGGGGUUAGUAAGUUGGUCGUGCCACUGGUAUGUACUGGCUUUACUGAUUCCUCCUUCUUGUAGAACCGUAAUGCCAUUAAGUUGGUGUUGCGGGGAAACAGGACUGUUACUUUGAAAAAAUUAGAGUGUUUAAAGCAAGCUAACGCUUGAAUACAUUAGCAUGGAAUAAUGAAAUAGGACGUUCGAUCCUAUUUUGUUGGUUUCUAGGAUUGACGUAAUGAUUAAUAGGGAUAGUUGGGGGCAUUAGUAUUCAAUUGUCAGAGGUGAAAUUCUUGGAUUUAUUGAAGACUAACUACUGCGAAAGCAUUUGCCAAGGAUGCUUUCAUUAAUCAAGAACGAAAGUUAGGGGAUCGAAGACGAUCAGAUACCGUCGUAGUCUUAACCAUAAACUAUGCCGACUAGGGAUCGGAUGAUGUUAAUUUUAUAAUGACUCAUUCGGCGCCUUA
This 520-nucleotide ribosomal RNA is filed under the name uncultured Glomus. RNAcentral's name for it is "SSU rRNA". It matches the Rfam family "Eukaryotic small subunit ribosomal RNA", at positions 569 to 1090 of the family's 1831-position model. Lineage: Eukaryota; Fungi; Glomeromycota; Glomeromycetes; Glomerales; Glomeraceae. The record is from RNAcentral.